This is a long non-coding RNA of Meriones unguiculatus (Mongolian gerbil), 2048 nucleotides long. RefSeq lists it as uncharacterized. The record is from RefSeq and is a predicted model, not a curated record. The transcript is spliced from 3 exons. NCBI's taxonomy places the organism in Eukaryota, Metazoa, Chordata, Mammalia, Rodentia, Muridae.
GAACCACAGGCACUUUUCAGCACGGUGCCAUAUUUCCAACCCAAGGCUUCCCUUUCCUAAGGUGCUGAAUGAAAACCGGUGUUUUGACCAUCUCCAGUUCACUGCAUCAGGGGAAGAGACUGAUGGGAGAGAAGUUUCACGGAGGAAGCUUGUCAGGUUCCAGCAAGCACACCGUGUUCUCCCCAUCUGUACUUGCUGCUGCCAUCAGCUCUAAACCAUAGGAGGAAGAAUGAUACUUGACUGAUCCUUGGGUGGCAAGAAUAUGAAACCAUAAUGAUUGUUAAGACCAGUCUCUCCAUGGUUGUCUGAGAACAACAUUUGAGAUUAUUUACAUCAACUUCCAGAAGACAGUCUCCUGACAUAUUAGGAUAAUAUAAUCAAUUACAUGGCCUGCUUCUGAUGGGACAUUGCCAAGAUCACUACAGUGGAAGAUUGCCCGCCCUGCAGCUGCCCCUCGUUCUCUGUUCACUCUUGUGGGAGGAAAAUGGCCUGUGCACGAAGAUGAGCACUAGGGAAGUCAGAAAAGUUAAACACAUAGCUGACCUCUUCAACAGAAUGAGGUACAUAGCUGCUCUUCCUGGAAUGUCAGGAAGUUUUACAACCUGGGGGUCUUUGCUGUCCGAUGAGACAGGCUUUGCCAUAUCUCCCAAUUCAUGUUUUUAAAAAACUCAUUCUUGACAUUUCCCCCUAAAUCUUGAGCAUUGAUUUUAGACCAUAAACCUAUUUUUAUGAAUGAUGUCACUUGUGCUUUGCCACAGCCAAAGUGACUUCCGUGUUAUCUUAGGGCCAGGACAAUGCUGACACCCACAGGCAUCAUGUUUACCUCAGUCAAGAUCCCUAGGGUCUAAACCUUGGCCACUAUCUAUGUGUCCAUAGUACCCACUCUUGUGAAAGAAGCCAGAUAUACUUUGUAAAGAAUCUCAAUGUAAACAUGUCUUAAAUUGUUGUGCACUCAGGGCUGAGUUAAUUGUUAUCUGAAUACCCUUUGUUCCCCCCAAAUUGUGUUAAAUAUCAUCUGUGCUUAAAUAUGUGCUUAAAAUGAUCUGGGCCAGACUCUGGAAAUCCUGGUCUAGCGCUGGUUACAAUCAAAUUGGGCUGAGCCAAGUUUCACUUUUAGCUCACGGUGACGUUUUCCCCCUGCCUGCUGUCAAGCUUGCGGGGGACUCGCCACACCCCCUCCCACUCCUGUGCACAUCACAGGUUUGCCAUUCCUCUUAGAGAGAAACCUGGAAUAUUUUUUUUUCUGACUUCAUGGGUUCCACACAGUUAGAUCCUGCCUGCCUGGGCCUUGGCAUGAGCUCUUUAGCCAUGUACAUUCUGACCCCCCCACCCCACUAAGGGUGAGUAGUAGCCUGUCUCCAUCACAGGCCAUUGCUCUGAAAAUCUGCACAGCUUCAUUUUCUCUCUUUUCCCAGGUUCAGCGGGACAUCGUUCUGCAUGGCUGGGUGAUUAUGUCCUUUAUCUACCUAGGUUUAAUCAACCCGAGGACAGGGUUAGGGGUCAUUCUGCCCUUUGAUAACCCUGUACCUGUCACAUGGUUAGCAAACAAUACACACUCAUGAAAUAAUUGCAUCAAUCAAUGGUAGGUUUUAUAGGACCUGAGGUACCUGGUACCUGUUCCAUUUGUGACCACUAUUAACUGCUCCCCUGACCAACAGACCUGGGGGUGGUGGGGAUUGUUCCACACUGAGGUGUCUAGGCCAGUCACUAAAGUCAGCUACAUGACUUGCCAUGUGCUGUUUUGUGUAUGCCACUUGUUAGAUGCCUACUGUAAUCUUGUGAAUUAGGUUCUAUUUUUAAUCCAUUUUUCUCAGCUAGAAACUGAGGAACAGAACGAUCGAAUACGUUUCCCCAGAAGACAGAGCAGUGCUGUGGUUUGAAUUCUACCUCGAGAGCCCGCACACCACGCCACCUAUUUCCCUUCAGAAAUGAGACAGAAUAAAAUAAGGGAAAAAUACGAUAAAAUUUUGUGUUUAAAAAGCUACAAUAUAAAUUAUUUAUAAAAUGGAUUUCUUCAUAGAUAUAUAUUUUAUGGGAUUUUUACAAGG